AGGGGACACAAAACUCGAAGGUUGGGUGCAGACUCGGAGAGGUGGGUGAAACGGCUGGGCACAGACUCUUGGGACUGGCUACAGACUCCGGGCUGGGCGCAGACUCCGGGCUGGGCACAGACUUGGGGCUGGGUGCAGACUCUGGGGCUGGGUGCAGACUCUGGGGCUGGGUGCAGACUCCGGGCUGGGUGCAGAUUCCGGGGCUGGGUGCAGACAUGGGCUGGGUACAGACUCCAGGCUGGGUGCAGACACGGGCUGGGUACAGACUCCGGGGCUGGGUGAGACAUGGGCUGGGCACAGACUCCGGGCUGGGUGCAGACUCCGGGGCUGGGUGCAGACAUGGGCUGGGUGCAGACUCUGGGCUGGGUGCAGACAUGGGCUGGGUGCAGACUCCGGGCUGGGUGCAGACAUGGGCUGGGUGCAGACUCCAGGCUGACAUGGGCUUAUCUACUGUGCAGGCGACCCCUGCACCCACCACCUCCUCUACCUUGGUACUUACAUGGCAGCACCACUGCCCCCACCACGGGGUCCAGCAUGGCACUCACCACUGCAUGCCGCACACAAUGCCAAACACAGCACCCACCAUGGCGCGGAGCGCUCUCUGGGGCGUCCUCCCCACAUUCUGGGCCUCCAGGGCUGCACCUGUGAUCCUCACUCUGGACCCCAAGCAAACACCCCCACCACCCAACUCCCCACUGCCCGGGCGUCUCAGAGCUUUCCAGGAGAACACGUACGUCUCCCAGCUGACUCCAUGAUGGCAGCCCGCAGACUCUCCGCUUCCUCACUGAUCUGCUGCCUGAGACCCCCCUCCUGACCCCGGUUUCUCCAUCGUGUACUCAAUCAUGUUACAGAAACCGAAAGAGCAGGAUGGGCACGGGGGGGGGGGGGGACCCAGUGAGGAAGUUCCUACCUUGGCAGAGCUUCUGGUUUAGUAGAGAAAAAUAAGACGGUUACAUAAAUCCCUAAAAUUAGAUUAGAGUUUCAAAUGUAAUCAGGGAUUCUGAAAAGAAGUCGCUAUGGAAGCACCUGGGAGAGAGAAUCUUUCUGGCUGAGGAAUGGGGAGGAGAUGCAGGAGGGUGGGAGCAAAGGGACUGCCCUGCCCCAGGUCUGCGAUCCUGGCCGCCUCCGGCCACACACGUCCGUGCCACAUCUGUCCAACGCCAGGAUCAGACGAGCGGAUCUCUGCAGUCACCUCCGGCAGUGUUUGCACAGCUCUGGGGCAAAGGCAGCAUGGGCUGCACCUUCAACGACCAUCAGGACUUGGCACAGGGAGAGCGGAGAACAUCCCUGGGUGUGAGCUAGCCUGGAGACCUGGACGGACGGGGCUGGAGCCAAGGGGAGCUACAGCUGAGGGUACAGAUGAGGCGGUAGCAAAGGGCAAGCCAGGGGGACUCACAGGGCACCCUCGGCAUGAAUUCUCAGAUGCCCUCGAAAGGGCCAGGCGCCCAGGGCUUGUACCACUCACGGGGUUGCAGUGGGAGUCUUGAUGCAUCUGCACGGCGCCUCCCUCCAAGUGGCCUUAAUACACAGCCUGCCAGUCACCUUGCGUGCCCCACUUGAAGAACAACCCUUCUGAAGUCUGCAAGUUUUCCCAGGAACACAACACAGUAAGAGGUGAGCAGAGCCCUAGGAGGGUCACAAAACCCGGCGUGAUCAGUAACUCUCACGAGAGAGCUGACCAUCACCAGCUCCAGAACGUGGAAUCCCUCCCUUUUCUCCCACGUGCUUCGCCUGCAGGGCUGUGCUGGCAUAAGCAGAAGCACCUCUGUAUCGACUCCAUCGACACUUGGACUAACUUAUAGCUCAGGGCAGCAGAACCACACCAGCCUCCGAGACCGCUCUGAAGAUGGCGCACGAGGUUCCUGGACAGUCAAGAGAAAGGCUGCCAAGGGCAGGUGCUGUGAUCUUCCCUGGCACUCCCCCCUUCCCUCCAAGGAAUCAGAAGGCAGGCAAACAACUGGAGGAAAUACAGGGAAAGAGGCUGCUCCAAAAGGAAAUGAUGCAAACACAAUCGCACAGCUGAGACUUGCCGGUGGAUACAGGGAAUGAUAGCAACAGUGCUACCCUGGACGCCUUGGCACCAGCAGCUCCCAGAGACGGCCAGCCCCACCCGGGCACAUCAGCAGCAAUGCGCCCCUGGCCGCUCAGCCCCGCUGUGCUGGUUCUGAGCUCUCCACGGACCCCGCGCUGUUUCUUGCUGUUCCCAGGCUCCAUGUUGACACUGAUCCUCUCGCCUGCUGGCCAGCUCAGGUGCAUCCUUCCAGUCCCCCGAGCAGACCCGGGCUGAACAGGCGUCCCCGCCGGUCCCACUGCUCUCUGCACGCCUACAUCAUCGCCCUGACCCUGAUGUUACAUCAGUCUGGGAAUGUUCUUGCUUCCAGCUCCCCAGACUACAGCUUGCUCAAGGUCAUGGACUCAUUUCCUGCAGACCUCUGAGCUCAAAGCCCGGCUUCAACACUUAACAUCUGUGAGACCCUGGGCAGCACCGCUGCUGUCAGAUGAGGGCAGUGGUAUGCACGUGUCAUCUGGGACCAGGUGAAAGCUACACCUUCCAUAAUGCACGCCACACACCCAUGCUUGAUGCCCAGUGCAUGGGAAACACUUAAUGGAUAUUAACUACUGUCUGUCCCCAGGCCCACAGACCCGGGAGAGAGCAGAACACAGCCUGGCAAACCUCUUCAUAACAUCGAGGAACUGACUUCUCUCUGCAACACUGCAUCCACCUUGUGAGCCGGCUCCUUAGAGGAAGCCUUUCUCCCACUCCCAGAAACCAGUCUGGAAACAUGCCAAUUCAAGUUUUAGAUCAGGGAGCUAGAGAUAUUUAGCAGCAAUGAACUGCUCAUCAUCCCUGAGAAAAAUCUGCAAUUUGCAUUUUUUUCUUGCAAAAAUCCUUACAAAUAGUUGCAUCUGGGGAGUGGUCUUGCAAAAUUCUCUUAUAACAUGUGAUUGAAACAGGAGUAUUUUUAUUUCUGGAUCUGGGUAAACAUUUGGGCCAACAUCUUGAUUUUACCCUGAAGGAACUGCGGCCACCUAGGGAGGUGAAGACACGUGCCAAGGUCACAUAGCUGUGCCACUCACACAGCUCUGUCCUCCAGCACUGGCACCCGACAGGGAAGGGAGGGGAGGCUUCAACUUAAUUUCUUCAUAUCAUUAAGAAAAGGUCCUCGUGUGUAUCAGUAACACACAAAGGGAGAAAGGAAACUGGUCCCAGGAACAAAGACCUCAAAUGCUCUGCCAGCCGCACAGACCUGGCUGUCAGAAAACUGCCCAGAGUGACCGUGAACCGUCCACCUCCCCCGGAAGCAUCCCAUUCCUUUCAUGGCCUUUCUGCUGCCUCUGAGAAGCCCCCCAACAUGCACACAUGCUCCCCACAAAGUCAGGGGGCCCGGCCUGGUCAGAUACCUGGGAAGCACCCAAGGGCUGUAAGACAGCCUGAGUGCUGCUGACCACCAGACUCCUGGGGACACCAGAGGACCUCAAGUGCAGCCUGUGGAAGGGACCACACACAGAGUCGGAAAUGCUGAUGCCAGGGCGAGGCUUCCAGCCUCAGCCCACCGUGUGCCCUGGGCUCCCCAGCCCCUCCGAGCCGAGCCCCUGUCCCCGGGCUCACAACGAGGGGGCUGAAGGGAGGGAUCCGUGGCAAACCACCUGGUUCUGAGAUUCUCAGCCUCCAAGGACAGACUUCCUCCAGCUCCGGAGAGAAAGACUCUCAGGAGGGAGGAGCAAUGUAACAAAAACAAGCAGCAGGGACAAGUCAGGAACCACGGUGGGAAAGGCCACAUUCUCAGUGGGGCCACGUGGCUCGGAGCCCUGGGCUGCCCAGGAGCAGGGGGCACCGUGUGAGGUCUCCCAAAGUCCCAAACCACAUCCAGUUCCCAGCCGACACACGGUACCCAAGCAUCAGUCUGGACGAGGGACUGAAAGCCAGCAAGCUAGGCACUGGACGGCCCCUAGAGAACAGAGAACCAACGGAGCUCUGGGCGUUCUCAAACUCUGCCUCGGCCACAGGCCCGCGGCUGUCCCCGUCACUCACUCCAGUUAGCACCUCACUAGUUCCCUUCCAGGGACGGCGAUGUCACUGUCAGGCCUCUUUAAAAACUGGAAAACUCAACUUGUGCUGAGCCUGGGAAUUUCUCAUCCCACUUCCUCAAGAGGGCCUGGAUCCAGGAGCAGCCCUCUGAGAAGGGGCAGCCAUGGAGGCCCACCCUGGGGGAGAGGGUCCCCAGGCCUGCCCCUCUCCACACACCACGCUGACCAUCACUGGCUCCCGGUGCCAUGGACAGCCCCAGAGCCCUGGACUGGAAUUCAGAGAUUUCAUGACUUAUCCCCAUCUGACCCCUGUAGUCACACUUGCUCUGCAUGUUUUAAAAAUUCAUGAAAACAUCGGGUGCAUGCAGGGCCUGGCGGUUAGGACGCCAGCUGGCAUGUCUGCAUCUGGCGUCAGCGUGCCUGGGUUUGCGUUCUGGCUCCACUCUGGAGUCCAGCUUCCUGCCAAUGCACAACCUGGCAAGCAGCAACUGAAGGCUCAAGUACCUGAGUCCCUGCCACCCACGUGGGAGAUCCAGAUUGAGAACCUGGUUCUGGGGCUGGCGCUGUGGAGCAGUGGGUUAAAGCCCCAGCCUGCAGCGCUGGCAUCCCAUGUGGGCAGUUCAAGUCCCGGCUGCUCCUCUUCCGAUUCAGCUCCCUGCUAUGGCCUGGGAAAGCAGUAGAAGAUGGCCCAAGUCUUUUGGCCCCUGCACCCACGUGGGAGACCCAGAAGAAGCUCCUGGCUCUCAGCUUUGGAUCAGCUCAGCUCUGGCCAUUGCAGUCAUUUGGGGAGUGAACCAGUGGAAUGGAAGACCUCUCUCUCUCUGGCUCUACCUCUCUCUGUAACUCUGUCUUUCAAAUAAAUAAAAUAAAUCUUUAAAGAGAGAGAGAGAG
This 4920-nucleotide long non-coding RNA is filed under the name Oryctolagus cuniculus (rabbit). RNAcentral's name for it is "lncRNA (ENSOCUG00000032137.1)". Lineage: Eukaryota; Metazoa; Chordata; Mammalia; Lagomorpha; Leporidae. The record is from RNAcentral.